Molecule: ribosomal RNA, 407 nt
Filed under: Verrucomicrobiota bacterium
Lineage: Bacteria; Pseudomonadati; Verrucomicrobiota
Description: Verrucomicrobia bacterium partial 16S ribosomal RNA
Rfam family: Bacterial small subunit ribosomal RNA
Source: RNAcentral
UGGGGAAUAUUGGACAAUGGCGGGAACUCUGAUCCAGCAAUUCUGUUUGUGUGAAGAAGGUUUUAGGACUGUAAAACACUUUUAGUAGGGAAGAAAAAAAUGACGGUACCUACAGAAGAAGCAACGGCUAAAUACGUGCCAGCAGCCGCGGUAAUACGUAUGUUGCGAGCGUUAUCCGGAAUUAUUGGGCUUAAAGGGCAUCUAGGCGGUAAGACAAGUUGAAGGUGAAAACCUGUGGCUCAACCAUAGGCUUGCCUACAAAACUGUUGAACUAGAGUACUGGAAAGGAGGGUGGAACUACACGAGUAGAGGUGAAAUUCGUAGAUAUGUGUAGGAAUGCCGAUGAUGAAGAUAACUCACUGGACAGAAACUGACGCUGAAGUGCGAAAGCUAGGGGAGCAAACAGG